UUUUAAAUGAAAGCUCUAUCUUUAAUAACAAAAAAGUUAUGCAAAAUUUUCGAUCUAAAAAAGUACAUGUUAAUUGUAAAAAACCGAAAUUUGGAUUUUUUUCAAAAACUACAAUUUUUUUAGUUUUUGAUUAUUACGUACAAGGUGCCCCUUUGUGAGGAGUACUUGGCAGUUUUUAAAUGAAAGCUCUAUCUUUAAUAACAAAAAAGUUAUGCAAAAUUUUCGAUCUAAAAAAGUACAUGUUAAUUGUAAAAAACCGAAAUUUGGAUUUUUUUCAAAAACUACAAUUUUUUUAGUUUUUGAUUAUUACGUACAAGGUGCCCCUUUGUGAGGAGUACUUGGCAGUUUUUAAAUGAAAGCUCUAUCUUUAAUAACAAAAAAGUUAUGCAAAAUUUUCGAUCUAAAAAAGUACAUGUUAAUUGUAAAAAACCGAAAUUUGGAUUUUUUUCAAAAACUACAAUUUUUUUAGUUUUUGAUUAUUACGUACAAGGUGCCCCUUUGCGAGGAGUACUUGGCAGUUUUUAAAUAAAAGCUCUAUCUUUAAUAACAAAAAAGUUAUGCAAAAUUUUCGAUCUAAAAAAGUACAUGUUAAUUGUAAAAAACCGAAAUUUCGAUUUUUUUCAAAAACUACAAUUUUUUUAGUUUUUGAUUAUUACGUACAAGGUGCCCCUUUGCGAGGAGUACUUGGCAGUUUUUAAAUGAAAGCUCUAUCUUUAAUAACAAAAAAGUUAUGCAAAAUUUUCGAUCUAAAAAAGUACAUGUUAAUUGUAAAAAACCGAAAUUUCGAUUUUUUUCAAAAACUACAAUUUUUUUAGUUUUUGAUUAUUACGUACAAGGUGCCCCUUUGCGAGGAGUACUUGGCAGU
This 865-nucleotide long non-coding RNA is filed under the name Anthonomus grandis grandis. RNAcentral describes it as "uncharacterized LOC126747916". The record is from RNAcentral. Lineage: Eukaryota; Metazoa; Arthropoda; Insecta; Coleoptera; Curculionidae.